RNAcentral lists this ribosomal RNA (489 nucleotides) under uncultured bacterium. Its description in RNAcentral is "partial 16S ribosomal RNA". It matches the Rfam family "Bacterial small subunit ribosomal RNA", at positions 30 to 507 of the family's 1533-position model. The record is from RNAcentral.
UUGAACGCUGGCGGCCGGCCUAACCCAUGCCAGUCGAACGGUAACAGGAAACAGCUUGCUGUUUCGCUGACGAGUGGCGGACGGGUGAGUAAUGUCUGGGAAACUGCCUGAUGGAGGGGGAUAACUACUGGAAACGGUAGCUAAUACCGCAUAACGUCGCAAGACCAAAGAGGGGGACCUUCGGGCCUCUUGCCAUCGGAUGUGCCCAGAUGGGAUUAGCUAGUAGGUGGGGUAACGGCUCACCUAGGCGACGAUCCCUAGCUGGUCUGAGAGGAUGACCAGCCACACUGGAACUGAGACACGGUCCAGACUCCUACGGGAGGCAGCAGUGGGGAAUAUUGCACAAUGGGCGCAAGCCUGAUGCAGCCAUGCCGCGUGUAUGAAGAAGGCCUUCGGGUUGUAAAGUACUUUCAGCGGGGAGGAAGGGAGUAAAGUUAAUACCUUUGCUCAUUGACGUUACCCGCAGAAGAAGCACCGGCUAACUCCGUG